Molecule: ribosomal RNA, 465 nt
Filed under: Vreelandella stevensii
Lineage: Bacteria; Pseudomonadati; Pseudomonadota; Gammaproteobacteria; Oceanospirillales; Halomonadaceae
Description: partial 16S ribosomal RNA
Rfam family: Bacterial small subunit ribosomal RNA
Source: RNAcentral
CCUACGGGUGGCAGCAGUGGGGAAUAUUGGACAAUGGGCGAAAGCCUGAUCCAGCCAUGCCGCGUGUGUGAAGAAGGCCUUCGGGUUGUAAAGCACUUUCAGUGGGGAAGAAAGCCUUGGGGCUAAUACCCUCGAGGAAGGACAUCACCCACAGAAGAAGCACCGGCUAACUCCGUGCCAGCAGCCGCGGUAAUACGGAGGGUGCGAGCGUUAAUCGGAAUUACUGGGCGUAAAGCGCGCGUAGGCGGUCUGAUAAGCCGGUUGUGAAAGCCCCGGGCUCAACCUGGGAACGGCAUCCGGAACUGUCAGGCUAGAGUGCAGGAGAGGAAGGUAGAAUUCCCGGAGUAGCGGUGAAAUGCGUAGAGAUCGGGAGGAAUACCAGUGGCGAAGGCGGCCUUCUGGACUGACACUGACGCUGAGGUGCGAAAGCGUGGGUAGCAAACAGGAUUAGAUACCCUAGUAGUC